AGCACGUUAUGUGGGCGACUCUAAGGAGACUGCCGGUGACAAACCGGAGGAAGGUGGGGAGUGACGUCAAGUCAUCAUGGCCCUUACGGCCUGGGCUACACACGUGCUACAAUGGUCGGUACAAAGGGUUGCCAAGCCGCGAGGUGGAGCUAAUCCCAUAAAACCGAUCGUAGUCCGGAUCGCAGUCUGCAACUCGACUGCGUGAAGUCGGAAUCGCUAGUAAUCGUGAAUCAGAAUGUCACGGUGAAUACGUUCCCGGGCCUU
Molecule: ribosomal RNA, 264 nt
Filed under: uncultured Pseudomonas sp.
Lineage: Bacteria; Pseudomonadati; Pseudomonadota; Gammaproteobacteria; Pseudomonadales; Pseudomonadaceae
Description: partial 16S ribosomal RNA
Rfam family: Bacterial small subunit ribosomal RNA
Source: RNAcentral